UACGUAGGGGGCUAGCGUUGUCCGGAAUCAUUGGGCGUAAAGCGCGUGUAGGCGGCUCGGUAAGUCCGCUCUGAAAGCCCGGGGCUCAACCCCGGGAGGCGGGUGGAUACUGCCGGGCUAGAGUCCGGAAGAGGCAAGUGGAAUUCCUGGUGUAGCGGUGAAAUGCGCAGAUAUCAGGAGGAACACCAAUUGCGAAGGCAGCUCGCUGGGACGUAACUGACGCUGAGACGCGAAAGCGUGGGGAGCAAACAGG
Molecule: ribosomal RNA, 253 nt
Filed under: uncultured bacterium
Lineage: Bacteria
Description: partial 16S ribosomal RNA
Rfam family: Bacterial small subunit ribosomal RNA
Source: RNAcentral